GACGAACGCUGGCGGCGUGCUUAACACAUGCAAGUCGAACGGAAAGGCCCCUUCGGGGUUGCUCGAUUGGCGAACGGGAGAGUAACACGGGAGUAACCUGCCCUUGUCUUCUGCAUAACUUCAGGAAACUGGGGCUAGUACCUGAGAGGAAUUCUUGCUGGAUGUGGGGGGUGGGAAAGCUUGGGGGGUUUGGUAUUGACUCGCGUCUGGUGGGGCUGGUGGUGGGUUAGUGGCUUGCCGAGGCUUUGACGGGUAGGCGGACUGCGAGGGCGACAGGCCAAAUCGGCACUGAGACACGGCCCAGACUCCUACGGGGGGCAGCAGUGGGGAAGAUUGCACAAUGGGCAGAAGCGUGAUGCAGCAACGGCGCGUGCGGGAUGACGGCCUUCGGGUUGUAAGCGGCGUUCAGCAGGGGCGAAGAUUGUGGUGACGGUACCUGCAGAAGAAGCACCGGCUAACUACGUG
RNAcentral lists this ribosomal RNA (465 nucleotides) under uncultured bacterium. RNAcentral describes it as "partial 16S ribosomal RNA". It matches the Rfam family "Bacterial small subunit ribosomal RNA", at positions 28 to 507 of the family's 1533-position model. The record is from RNAcentral.